GAGUUUGAUCCUGGCUCAGAUUGAACGCUGGCGGCAUGCUUUACACAUGCAAGUCGAACGGCAGCGCGGGGCAACCUGGCGGCGAGUGGCGAACGGGUGAGUAAUAUAUCGGAACGUACCCAAGAGUGGGGGAUAACGUAGCGAAAGUUACGCUAAUACCGCAUACGAUCCAAGGAUGAAAGCAGGGGACCGCAAGGCCUUGUGCUCCUGGAGCGGCCGAUAUCUGAUUAGCUAGUUGGUAGGGUAAAGGCCUACCAAGGCUACGAUCAGUAGCCGGUCUGAGAGGACGACCAGCCACACUGGAACUGAGACACGGUCCAGACUCCUACGGGAGGCAGCAGUGGGGAAUUUUGGACAAUGGGCGCAAGCCUGAUCCAGCAAUGCCGCGUGAGUGAAGAAGGCCUUCGGGUUGUAAAGCUCUUUUGUCAGGGAAGAAACGGUGGGAGCUAAUAUCUCUCACUAAUGACGGUACCUGAAGAAUAAGCACCGGCUAACUACGUGCCAGCAGCCGCGGUAAUACGUAGGGUGCAAGCGUUAAUCGGAAUUACUGGGCGUAAAGCGUGCGCAGGCGGUUUUGUAAGUCUGAUGUGAAAUCCCCGGGCUCAACCUGGGAAUUGCAUUGGAGACUGCAAGGCUAGAAUCUGGCAGAGGGGGGUAGAAUUCCACGUGUAGCAGUGAAAUGCGUAGAGAUGUGGAGGAACACCGAUGGCGAAGGCAGCCCCCUGGGUCAAGAUUGACGCUCAUGCACGAAAGCGUGGGAGCAAAC
This 766-nucleotide ribosomal RNA is filed under the name uncultured bacterium. Its description in RNAcentral is "bacterial SSU rRNA". It matches the Rfam family "Bacterial small subunit ribosomal RNA", at positions 9 to 773 of the family's 1533-position model. The record is from RNAcentral.